UGGGGAAUAUUGCGCAAUGGGGGGAACCCUGACGCAGCCAUGCCGCGUGAAUGAAGAAGGCCUUCGGGUUGUAAAGUUCUUUCGGUAUUGAGGAAGGUUGAUGUGUUAAUAGCACAUCAAAUUGACGUUAAAUACAGAAGAAGCACCGGCUAACUCCGUGCCAGCAGCCGCGGUAAUACGGAGGGUGUGAGCGUUAAUCGGAAUAACUGGGCGUAAAGGGCACGCAGGCGGUUAUUUAAGUGAGGUGUGAAAGCCCUGGGCUUAACCUAGGAAUUGCAUUUCAGACUGGGUAACUAGAGUACUUUAGGGAGGGGUAGAAUUCCACGUGUAGCGGUGAAAUGCGUAGAGAUGUGGAGGAAUACCGAAGGCGAAGGCAGCCCCUUGGGAAUGUACUGACGCUCAUGUGCGAAAGCGUGGGGAGCAAACAGGAUUAGAUACCCUGGUAGUCCACGCUGUAAACGCUGUCGAUUUGGGGGUUGGGGUUUAACUCUGGCGCCCGUAGCUAACGUGAUAAAUCGACCGCCUGGGGAGUACGGCCGCAAGGUUA
Molecule: ribosomal RNA, 547 nt
Filed under: uncultured bacterium
Lineage: Bacteria
Description: bacterial SSU rRNA
Rfam family: Bacterial small subunit ribosomal RNA
Source: RNAcentral